CCUACGGGCGGCUGCAGUGAGGAAUAUUGGACAAUGGACGAGAGUCUGAACCAGCCAAGUAGCGUGAAGGAUGACUGCCCUAUGGGUUGUAAACUUCUUUUAUAUGGGAAUAAAAUGUUCCACGUGUGGGAUUUUGUAUGUACCAUAUGAAUAAGGAUCGGCUAACUCCGUGCCAGGAGCCGCGGUAAUACGGAGGAUUCGAGCGUUAUCCGGAUUUAUUGGGUUUAAAGGGAGCGUAGGUGGAUUGUUAAGUCAGUUGUGAAAGUUUGCGGCUCAACCGUAAAAUUGCAGUUGAAACUGGCAGGCUUGAGUACAGGAGAGGUGGGCGGAAGUCGUGGUGUAGCGGUGAAAUGCUUAGAUAGCACGAAGAACUCCGAUUGCGAAGGCAGCUCACUGGACUGUAACUGACGCUGAGGCUCGAAAGUGUGGGUAGCAAACAGGAUUAGAUACCCCGGUAGUC
This 460-nucleotide ribosomal RNA is filed under the name uncultured bacterium. RNAcentral describes it as "partial 16S ribosomal RNA". It matches the Rfam family "Bacterial small subunit ribosomal RNA", at positions 338 to 795 of the family's 1533-position model. The record is from RNAcentral.